Molecule: ribosomal RNA, 76 nt
Filed under: Fictibacillus norfolkensis
Lineage: Bacteria; Bacillati; Bacillota; Bacilli; Caryophanales; Fictibacillaceae
Description: partial 23S ribosomal RNA
Source: RNAcentral
UUGAUAGGUCUGGUGUGGAAGCGUGGUGACACGUGGAGCUGACAGAUACUAAUCGGUCGAGGGCUUAUCCUUAAAA